AGCCAUGGCGGCUGACAGCUGACAGUCCGUGAAACGCGUAUCGAGAGAUUGCGAAACUGACUGUCGCGGAAAGGACGUAGGACGUGCGGAGAAAAAAAUGAGAGAUAUGCACCUGAGGAUGUGCUUAGCUAGGAUAAAAUGAGUAUCGUCUAAGAUCCACAAGGAAGCAGCUCGACUGUCCACAUUCCCACGAGCGACUUCUUUAAUAGAUCGGCACAACCUUGUCCUCGCCGCAUUCUAUCGUCCCGUUAUCACCCGUCGGAAAAGCGUUAGAAAUAUCAUUUGAAGUAUAGCACGAUCGGAAUAAACCGUUUCGAGUGCAAGUGAGUAUCCUGAAAUCGCUGAGAAGAGACUCGAGAGAAACAUCGGGCACCAGCGAAACAG
Molecule: non-coding RNA, 384 nt
Organism: Linepithema humile (Argentine ant)
Lineage: Eukaryota; Metazoa; Arthropoda; Insecta; Hymenoptera; Formicidae
Source: RefSeq, a predicted model, not a curated record